This is a non-coding RNA of Taeniopygia guttata (zebra finch), 500 nucleotides long. Lineage: Eukaryota; Metazoa; Chordata; Aves; Passeriformes; Estrildidae. The record is from RefSeq and is a predicted model, not a curated record.
GGUGGGCUGUGCGAGUCUGGUGACAGCACCUCAGUAGCACAGUAACUUGGCCUUUGCCUGCUCAAGGCUGACUCAGCUGUCUUAGGGAAUUCACAGUCCAGUACAGACAGACCGGAUUGGUCCUUGAAUCCAAAACACCAUCACCAUUGGCCAAUUAAGAAAUCACCCUUUGCCUUCCCCAGGAAGGGAGAAAGUUGUGCCUGCUCUCUGUGGCCAGACAGCUGUAGCCACAUGUGAGCAUUGCAUGGAAAGUGCGGAAGAGCCUUGUCUGAUAUUCAGCCUGCAGAAAUCCCAGAUUUAAGGCAAUCUUAAGAAAAGACAAGAUGGCACAGUCCAGAGACUAAAACUGGCUUCACUUCCCCACUGAUGUUCUUCCCUUCUGUGAUUUCUCAACUUGAGGCAGUAUGAUUGCUUGUUGACAGUGAUGUGCAAUAUAAUAUGUGUACCUCUAAAUUGCUUUCAAGCUGAUAAUUCUUUCUAAUAAGCUUUGAGAUGGUGCU